Long non-coding RNA from Humulus lupulus (European hop), 410 nucleotides. RefSeq lists it as uncharacterized. The transcript has 3 exons. Lineage: Eukaryota; Viridiplantae; Streptophyta; Magnoliopsida; Rosales; Cannabaceae. The record is from RefSeq and is a predicted model, not a curated record.
UUCAGAUUGUGCUGAAAGAAAAAGAGAAUUAAGGGCAAAAAGGAAGAAAGGAAGGGAGUUGAGAAUUCUGAGAUUUAGGAGAGGAAUCAAGGUGAUUUGAAGCAAUUGAAGCCAAACAAGAAUCGAGAUUGGUCAGAGCUUGUGAAAUCAGAGGGCAUAGCUUGGAGCUGGAAUCAAGGGAGCUUAAGGAUGAAUUCUCUACUUGAGGUAAAGGCAAAGAGAAAGUCCACCAGUCAUGAGUACGGAGAGCGUGGGGGCGGCGCGUACAUGUUUGGCCUACCCGACUGCUUUGGUUGGGGGCAUUUUGAGAAAUGGCUAUAUUAAACUAUGUUUUUGAUAAUUAGUCAUUUGUAAAUCUAUUUUGAAUUGUAAAUAUUUUACAAACCCCGUUUUGGGAUCCCAAAUGUUAA